RNAcentral lists this unclassified non-coding RNA (369 nucleotides) under fungal sp. RNAcentral describes it as "partial internal transcribed spacer region". The stretch from base 1 to 46 matches the Rfam family "Eukaryotic small subunit ribosomal RNA", at positions 1786 to 1831 of the family's 1831-position model. The record is from RNAcentral. Lineage: Eukaryota; Fungi.
AAGUCGUAACAAGGUUUCCGUAGGUGAACCUGCGGAAGGAUCAUUAUUACGUAUCCACGUAUCAAACCAAAUCGUGAACUGUUUCCCGUCUGAUGAGGAUUUCUGCGAGUGUUUGAACAUUUAUUAAAUGCAUGGUGAGGACUCCUAGUCGCAAGACUGGUUUCUUCGAAAUGGCACUCGGUCCUGGUUGCCCUCUCGGGGCUUCAGCCAGCUCAUUAGAUGUGGUUGAAUUUCAAUCACUAUGCUAAACUAUUAACCCCUUGUAAAACACUUGAACUAAAUUACGGAGACAAGACCCUUAACCAGGAAACUAUCUCUGAUAAACCGAGACUUAAGAAACAACUCUUAACAACGGAUAUCUUGGUUCUC